UUGUGGAGGAGGACGCCGAAGGUGGGGCUAAUGACUGGGGUGAAGUCGUAACAAGGUAGCCGUACCGGAAGGUGCGGCUGGAUCACCUCCUAACAGGGAGACAACAAAAUGUUUAAUAUUAUUAUUUUGUCACCUUAGGUCGAUCGGUAUCUCACGUUUUUAAUUUGUUAAGAAUUUCAUUUCCUAAGUUUUUCUAGGUCACACCCAUUAUUUUCCUGGGCCAUUAGCUCAGGUGGUUAGAGCGCACCCCUGAUAAGGGUGAGGUCCCUGGUUCAAGUCCAGGAUGGCCCAUAUCUCUAUGUUGGGGGUAUAGCUCAGUUGGUAGAGCGCCUGCUUUGCAAGCAGGAUGUCAGCGGUUCGAGUCCGCUUACCUCCACUGAUUACCACCUCUUCCAUAAUCAGUAGAAAGGAAAAUUUUUGGGUUGUGAUCAUUAUUCUGAACGAAUCUAGCUUCCUAAUGAAAUCAUUAAGAUGCUGGACUCAUUGAAUUAAUUUCAUUGUUUUCAGAGAACCUUGACAACUGCAUAGAUUAUUUUUUAAAGACAAUAAGCAUCUUUAAUGAUGCAGAUUUAUUAUUUGUGCAAAUGCAUUAAUAACAAUUCUAUUAAGCUGAUGCUUCAAUUUUGAAGUUAUUGGUCAAGCUACAA
This 647-nucleotide unclassified non-coding RNA is filed under the name uncultured Prochlorococcus sp. RNAcentral's name for it is "partial 16S-23S ribosomal RNA intergenic spacer; may also contain 16S ribosomal RNA and 23S ribosomal RNA". The stretch from base 304 to 376 matches the Rfam family "tRNA". The record is from RNAcentral. Lineage: Bacteria; Bacillati; Cyanobacteriota; Cyanophyceae; Synechococcales; Prochlorococcaceae.